AUUUUAUCUGAACUGGAAGGAGCUAAAAGUGAACUAGGAAUACCUGAUGGGGAUGCUGUGCUGUGGACUUUCUGGAGUCUGGGGACUCAUAACCAUCGUAUCCUUACACCCAUGAAAAGAGCUAAAGAGAUACUCUCUGGUUGAUCUCAGACCCCAUGGAGGCAUAUCAUGUGAUUAAGAAGAGAACAACUCUGCCCAAUCAGUAUGUUUAAGCUAGAGAAGAAAGAAGAAAAGAAAGAAGCAAGAGAGAAAGAAAGAAAGAAAGAGUAAGAAAGAAAGAAAGAGAAAAAAGAAAGAAGGAAAGAAAGGAAGAAAGGAAGGAAGGAAAGAAAGAAAGAACAACAGAAGAAAAUAAGAGAGAGAAAGAGGAAGAUAAAGAAUGAAAGAAGAAAGAAUGAGUGAGAGAAAAAAAUAGAGAAGAAGAGAAAACUAAAGAAGGAAGAGAGAAAGAGAGAGGAAGAAAGAGAAAGAACAAGAGAAGAAAGAAAGAGACGACAGAAAGAAAGAGAAAAAGAAAGAAAAAGAGAAAGAAAAGCUUUUUUGACAGCAAGGGUGGGAACAUCUGGUAUCCUCUGAGCAUACGCUCCUCAUCUCCAGUAGCUUCCAGCCCUCAAGUGACUCCUGAUUGCAAAUAACAAAAUCAUCUCUAAAGAGCAGCUCCAGGACCCUGGAGCAAGUUUCAGUUCUAAAGGCCCCUGCAUUGGGCAGUCACCUGCACUUCUCAUGGCGUGGGACAGAAAGGACUCAUGCUCGGAGCUGGCACGUCCCUCCCUCUGGUCCUACAUCUCAGCCAGGGGAUCUAAAACUCUCAGAGUAUGUUUAGUGCUGGAAGGCCUGAGCAGACUGGCCCAGGACUCUUCAUUUCCACAAGGAGAAGGGGCAAGGUACAGAUGUGGAUAUAGAAUCAGAUCAGAAUUUUCUUGGCAGUUUCAGGAAUUCUGA
RNAcentral lists this long non-coding RNA (942 nucleotides) under Pan paniscus (pygmy chimpanzee). RNAcentral describes it as "lncRNA (ENSPPAG00000045113.1)". Lineage: Eukaryota; Metazoa; Chordata; Mammalia; Primates; Hominidae. The record is from RNAcentral.